UACGUAGGGGGCAAGCGUUGUCCGGAAUCAUUGGGCGUAAAGCGCGUGUAGGCGGCUGAGUAAGUCUGCUCUGAAAGCCCGGGGCUCAACCCCCGGGAGGCGGGUGGAUACUGCUCAGCUCGAGUCCGGAAGAGGAGUGUGGAAUUCCUGGUGUAGCGGUGAAAUGCGCAGAUAUCAGGAAGAACACCGGUGGCGAAGGCGGCUCUCUGGGCCUUACCUGACGCUGAGGAGCGAAAGCGUGGGUAGCGAACAGG
RNAcentral lists this ribosomal RNA (254 nucleotides) under uncultured bacterium. Its description in RNAcentral is "partial 16S ribosomal RNA". It matches the Rfam family "Bacterial small subunit ribosomal RNA", at positions 524 to 776 of the family's 1533-position model. The record is from RNAcentral.